ACGCAGCAAAUGCGAUAAGUAAUGUGAAUUGCAGAAUCAGUGAAUCAUCGAACCUUUGAACGCACAUGGCGCCCCGCCGCCAGUCUCGCCGGCAAGCCUGUUCGAGCGUCAUUUCAACCCUCAAGCUAAGCUUGGUGUUGGGACGCGCGGUAACCCG
Molecule: ribosomal RNA, 157 nt
Filed under: Fusarium sp. SS-2012b
Lineage: Eukaryota; Fungi; Ascomycota; Sordariomycetes; Hypocreales; Nectriaceae
Description: 5.8S ribosomal RNA
Rfam family: 5.8S ribosomal RNA (bases 1-111)
About the family: 5.8S ribosomal RNA (5.8S rRNA) is a component of the large subunit of the eukaryotic ribosome. It is transcribed by RNA polymerase I as part of the 45S precursor that also contains 18S and 28S rRNA.
Source: RNAcentral